This 492-nucleotide ribosomal RNA is filed under the name uncultured bacterium. RNAcentral describes it as "partial 16S ribosomal RNA". It matches the Rfam family "Bacterial small subunit ribosomal RNA", at positions 30 to 507 of the family's 1533-position model. The record is from RNAcentral.
AUUGAACGCUGGCGGCAUGCUUUACACAUGCAAGUCGAACGGUAACAGGCCUUCGGGUGCUGACGAGUGGCGAACGGGUGAGUAAUGCAUCGGAACGUGCCCAGAGGUGGGGGAUAACGCAGCGAAAGCUGUGCUAAUACCGCAUGUGAUCUGAGGAUGAAAGCGGGGGACCAGGCAGCAAUGUUUGGCCUCGCGCCUUUGGAGCGGCCGAUGUCAGAUUAGGUAGUUGGUGGGGUAAAGGCCUACCAAGCCGACGAUCUGUAGCUGGUCUGAGAGGACGACCAGCCACACUGGGACUGAGACACGGCCCAGACUCCUACGGGAGGCAGCAGUGGGGAAUUUUGGACAAUGGGCGCAAGCCUGAUCCAGCAAUGCCGCGUGCGGGAAGAAGGCCUUCGGGUUGUAAACCGCUUUUGUGCGGAACGAAAAGGCUCUGGCUAAUACCUGGGGCUGAUGACGGUACCGUAAGAAUAAGCACCGGCUAACUACGUG